UACAGAGGGGGCAAGCGUUAUUCGGAAUUAUUGGGCGUAAAGGGCGCGUAGGCGGCCUGACAAGUGGAAGGUGAAAUCCCUCGGCUCAACUGAGGAACUGCCCUCCAAACUGUUUGGCUUGAGACCGGGAGAGGUGAGUGGAAUUCCCAGUGUAGCGGUGAAAUGCGUAGAUAUUGGGAGGAACACCAGUGGCGAAGGCGGCUCACUGGACCGGUACUGACGCUGAUGCGCGAAAGCGUGGGGAGCAAACAGG
RNAcentral lists this ribosomal RNA (253 nucleotides) under uncultured bacterium. RNAcentral describes it as "partial 16S ribosomal RNA". It matches the Rfam family "Bacterial small subunit ribosomal RNA", at positions 524 to 776 of the family's 1533-position model. The record is from RNAcentral.